AGCGAACGCUGGCGGCAGGCCUAACACAUGCAAGUCGAACGAACCUUUCGGGGUUAGUGGCGGACGGGUGAGUAACACGUGGGAACGUGCCUUUAGGUUCGGAAUAACUCAGGGAAACUUGUGCUAAUACCGAAUGUGCCCUUCGGGGGAAAGAUUUAUCGCCUUUAGAGCGGCCCGCGUCUGAUUAGCUAGUUGGUUGAGGUAAUGGCUCACCAAGGCGACGAUCAGUAGCUGGUCUGAGAGGAUGAUCAGCCACAUUGGGACUGAGACACGGCCCAAACUCCUACGGGAGGCAGCAGUGGGGAAUCUUGCGCAAUGGGCGAAAGCCUGUCGCAGCCAUGCCGCGUGAAUGAUGAAGGUCUUAGGAUUGUAAAAUUCUUUCACCGGGGACGAUAAUGACGGUACCCGGAGAAGAAGCCCCGGCUAACUUCGUG
Molecule: ribosomal RNA, 434 nt
Filed under: uncultured bacterium
Lineage: Bacteria
Description: partial 16S ribosomal RNA
Rfam family: Bacterial small subunit ribosomal RNA
Source: RNAcentral